GUCACACAGGUCUGGCCCACAAGGCCCUCCUUCUUGACCCAGGGAUGGUCACUGGGCAUAAAGUGGACAUGCCGUUCAGAAGAACUUUGUGAUCCAAUGGGUUCAGCUACCAGCCCAGUCCCCUUGGAGAGCUCGACUCACAAACACCAGGCCCGUGUCUCUGUCUCCUGACCCCUCUUCUCUCAGCAGCGGCUCUUGGGACUCACCUCCACCUGUCAUUUGCAGCCGCUGCUCCCUGGCGCUCCCUGC
Long non-coding RNA from Hipposideros armiger (great roundleaf bat), 249 nucleotides. RefSeq lists it as uncharacterized. The transcript is spliced from 3 exons. NCBI's taxonomy places the organism in Eukaryota, Metazoa, Chordata, Mammalia, Chiroptera, Hipposideridae. The record is from RefSeq and is a predicted model, not a curated record.